CCCUAGCCCUGAUUGUCCCGAAGUUUCGGGAGCAAUCCUUUUGUUUUUUUCUUAAAAAAACAAAAGAUAUAGUGUAGAGCAGGACACGAG
Molecule: small RNA, 90 nt
Filed under: Flavobacterium sp. 11
Lineage: Bacteria; Pseudomonadati; Bacteroidota; Flavobacteriia; Flavobacteriales; Flavobacteriaceae
Description: Flavo-1 RNA
Source: RNAcentral